GACGAACGCUGGCGGCGUGCUUAACACAUGCAAGUCGAACGGAAAGGCCCUGCUUUUGUGGGGUGCUCGAGUGGCGAACGGGUGAGUAACACGUGAGUAACCUGCCCUUGACUUUGGGAUAACUUCAGGAAACUGGGGCUAAUACCGGAUAGGAGCUCCUGCUGCAUGGUGGGGGUUGGAAAGUUUCGGCGGUUGGGGAUGGACUCGCGGCUUAUCAGCUCGUUGGUGGGGUAGUGGCUUACCAAGGCUUUGACGGGUAGCCGGCCUGGGAGGGUGACCGGCCACAUUGGGACUAAGAUACGGCCCAGACUCCUACGGGAGGCAGCAGUGGGGAAUAUUGCACAAUGGGCGGAAGCCUGAUGCAGCAACGCCGCGUGCGGGAUGACGGCCUUCGGGUUGUAAACCGCUUUCGCCUGUGACGAAGCGUGAGUGACGGUAAUGGGUAAAGAAGCACCGGCUAACUACGUG
Molecule: ribosomal RNA, 468 nt
Filed under: uncultured bacterium
Lineage: Bacteria
Description: partial 16S ribosomal RNA
Rfam family: Bacterial small subunit ribosomal RNA
Source: RNAcentral